AUAUUCUAUAGCAAAAUAUCAUCAAAAAAUAUUAAUCUAGUAAAGAAAAUUAUCUGUUUUUAUAAAAUUGGUAAAGCUAAAAACUAUGCCAUUGGAUGAAACUAUUACCGAAUUAUUUUUGGUCGUAUGCAUAAUAUGUACAAGAUUCUAUAAAGAAAUAAACUAGAGUUGAAGAAGAAAAAAAGUUAAUGUUGUCGCAAGGCAUUUCUGCCUCUCCAUCUCUCUCUCUCUCGUCAUAAAUCAAGAGAAAGAAAGAUUCAAGGAAUAAGAUAGGGUUAGAAUAUUUCUUGGAAGUCCAAAAGAAAAAAAGAAAAAAAUAAGGGAAGCUAGAAAACAUUUUGUUCAAAGUAGUAAUGAUAAGUUUACUCCACUACCUCUGACUUCCAUUCAUCCCUCAUCAUCAUUACAACCUCACUUCUUUCUUUUUCUCUGUACCUCCACUUUUUAUUCCCAACAUCAUGAUGAUAGUGAUGAUGACGAUUCCUCAUCUUCAUCAUCAUCUUCGUCGUCUUCUUCUACUUCUUUUUUCUCUUCAACUCCCAAGUUCCAGUACCCAAGAGGAAAACAUAAUCACAGAAAUCCAAGAUCAAGAAUCCCAAGAAAAAGAAGAAGUUGUUGAUUAUCAUCGUCAUCAAGAUUAGGGUUUACCUAAUCUCUCUACUUUUUCUUUUAGAUCGAUUCUUGACCAUCAUCAUCAUCAUCUCAUAUAUGUUUGUAUCGUCAUCCACGUGUGCGUACGAGAUCCAGUAGGGGAAUCAAGCGUCUCGGUCCGAUCCUUCGCUUCUUCAAAGCGAUCUUCACUCGAAAAUCAUAAAAUCAAGUGUCUUUGUUUUUUUUUUUUUGAAACACCAAGUGUCUUUGUUUACCUCUUUCUUAUCUUUGUGUGUUUUUCUUUUGACUUCCUUUUUUUUUUUUUCAUGUUAAGACUACCUUUGUUCUUCUAUUCGCUGUCUCUUCUAGAUUUCUCUCUUUUCAAUUGGUGUUUUCGUUUGGCUUAUUUAAAUUUUAUAAAUAUAUAUGUAUCAUCACUAUGUUCUUCUUCAAAUUCUACUCAGGAAAUUAAAUUCCAUACACAUGAUGGUUGUUAGCAUAUUGUGAAAUCAUACCGAUUCCCAUGUAAUCAAUUUGCUUGGAUCAAUGAGAUACAUCACAAGAUGAAACUUGUUUUAAAGGAAGGUAAUAAUUUAUUAUAGACCAUAUUAUAGAACAACCAUUUGUAUGCUAAUAUGUGUGUGUCUAUAUAUAUAUAUAUAUGGGUGUGUGUGUGUGUGUGUGAGAGAGAGAGAGUCUCUGUGUAAAUAUGCUGAAUUUGUCUGUUAACGAAUGAUGGUGAUAAUGUAUCAUGAAUUUUAGAACAUUAACCAUGUUUCAUAUCAUAUACAGAGACGUGCCUACAGUGUAUUGAAAAAGGCAUUCGCCUCAGGUCUCCGAUUAAUAUGAUUGUUUUUAGGGUCCCAAAAUUUAAAAUAAUUUCUAAAAUUAAUUUAUUCAUUUUUUAAAUUCAUGUAUUUUUUUCUGUAUGAUAUAAUAUAACAUAUUUACGUUAUAAACUUAUUCUUUUACAGUAUUAGACUUGUGUAUUUGGUGAAAAUAAUAUAUUAUAUUAGAAAAUUAUUUUCAUUACGGUUGUAAAUAAAUUUAUUUUUAAAAAUUGCUUUAGGCCCCUAAAACUUUUCGUACGGCACUGAUCAUAUACUAUAUGAAUGAUAUAUAGAUAUCUAUAUGACUGUUUGACAAAAAAAAAGCGAUCUAUAUGACUAUAUGGUAGAGCAUGCCUUGUAUCUAUGAUCGUGACGAUUUGGUACGUACGGUCAAAGAAACUUAUGAUAGCUGUGUGACGAAGAAAUGUGUACGUACAUAUAUGCAUUUACAUAUAGUCUUCACGAUCUAUAUUUUUGGAGACUAUCUAUAUGUAUAAGCAAUUGCAAGAAUAUUCUCGAGACAGCAUUUAUUUAUUGCCUAGAUCUAAUUUGUUUAUGGGAGAAUUGCUAAAACCAAUCCAAAUAUUCAAGUCAAAUAUAAAAGUAUAUCUCACUUUCAGUCAAAUACAAAAUCAACUUAAAAAAUAGUAAAAAUAGUAUUUAACUCUUAUGACUAAACAAAAGAACAGGAAUGUAUAUUAUAUUUAUGUCAUUCGCAAGUCUAUACGUAACAGAAAGAAGUCUACAUAUAUGUAGACCUCUUAUGAAGUCUACCACUUAUUUUGUAGUCUAUACCAUAAUUUGAUCUAAUAAUUGAAUUUUUUUUAAAUGUAUAAAAAAUAAUUGUUGUGAUAAUUUUAAUUAAUCAUUAAUAAAAUGGAUAAUAUGAAGUAAAUAAAUUAAAAUUUUAUAUAAUUGAAUAUUUUAUAGAGUAUAUACUAAUUUGGUAACCAUAUGCUAGAUAAUGUUCAUGGUUUAUAAACAAAAGGUUGUUACGUGUUAUGUCUUUUAGUGGUAGAUUUCUUAGGUUUAGAUUUUAGAUUGAGAUUAAGAUUUUUUUGUUUUACUGACUUAAAUUUGCAAAUUAGUGUUUGAUAUUUGUGAUAUUUAAUACAUUAAUUGAGACUAUUUCGAUUAUCAAGAGAUUUGUGGUUUAGAGUUUCGUAGACUCACAAUAAAGUCUAUUUCACUGUAGACGUUGUUUUCAGUCUACUUUAGUUGAUUACAAAAAAUAUUAUUUUUAAAUUAAAUAUAGUUUUUUAUGAAUAAAAAUGCGAAAUCAUAUAUUAUAACUAUUUUUAAAAGAAUUGGUAAAUUAUAUAUUUACAUUAUUAAACAAUAAUUUACGAGAAGAAUGGAUAACAAUUUUUUUUUAAAAAAAAAUUACAUAUUUUUUUAAAUAAUAAAAGAUAGGAGAAAGAACAAAAAAAAAUUAUUAUAGACUUAUAAAAUUAUAAUAGACUUAUAAAACCAAAAUAAUUAAACUUAACCAAAAUUAAACCAUAAAAGUUUUAACCUAACCAUAUCAAGUAUCCGACGUAUAAAUACAUUUUUUGUGGAAUUUGGUAAGAAACACAAAACCUAGCGAUGUUGCUCUCUUUAAGUCUCUAGAACAGGCGAUUUCCGGCAGUCUGACCCUAUCGAGUUUCUCUUCCUUAUUCUCCCACUCGCCGUCCUCUCCGAAUCACCAUCAUGACCAUCACCACCGUCCUCCCAUCCGUCAGCCAUAUCCACGUUGUCUCCGUCCACCUCGUCACCACCGUUCCUCUCCUCGUCUUCUCCAGUUUCUCAGGAGUGAGGAGAGUGAUGAGUCGGAGAUGAGCAGCGGCGAUGAGGAGAUAGAGCUUAACUUCGACUUCAAUGGAGUUCUGCCGUGUGUGUGUUCGAGCUUUGAGAUCAAAGGAUGAGAUGGACUCUAGUGAGAAGAGAAGGGAGGAUAUGGAUUUGGCUCAGAGACGAGGGAGGAGAUGGAGUUGGAUUCAAAGAUAAGUCUCUUACCCUCUUUCUCAGAUUGAGUUUUAUUUCUGAUUUAAUGUAUUGAUUAUGGAGAAAACUGACAGUUUCAAAAAUUGUAACCACAAUUUCAGGUACGUUCAGGAUUGGCAUUGAGAAUAACUGCACCAAACCAGCUGAGGACUGAGGACAUCGUUGUAACUUGUAACUGAAACUUUGGGAUGCAUUAAUUGGGAUGUGCUUCAUUCUCUCGAUCACAAGCAUAGGGGAUGUGCUUGAUUCUAAGCUGCUCAAAGGCUGUAUAUUAUGGUCGCAUGACUGAAAUACUGGUGCGAAGAGCUUCUUUUCCUGAUGAAUUCACACGGUUAACAGCCAUCAUGUGGAUAAACGAGAUUGUCUUAAAGCAUGCUUAUUAUAAGGAUCAAGCAUGCAUGUCACAAGCUACAUAUUCAGCGAUGGCCACUUUGGUGAAUGUGCAACCACUUUUUUGGCUAGAAUUGGAAGAUAGAUGAAGUUUUUGAUCAUUAUCAUGAGAGAGAAUAAGAUGUUUGUAAUAGACAUUUGUAUUGUACUUUUGUACGAGGCUACAUUGUAUUGUUCUCUUUGUAUCAAACUGAUGUAUUAUGUAAUAACUUACAUAUUCAGCGAUGACCACUUUGGUGAUUGUUCUUUUGUAUCAAACUACCUGUUAGAAAGCAGACUUGUUUAAUACAACCUUUAAAAAAAUACAAAAAAAAAAAUUAAGAUCCCCAAGUUUAACAUAGGUUCAUCACUUAACACAACUCUAAAACAAUGUAAUACAAGAGUCGCCCAUAAAAGUGACUCAAGAUCCACAAAUUCAACAUAAGUUUCACAUAACCUCCAAUUACAGAACUAGACUUACAAAGACAUCUACACUAAUUAUUUAACUACAUAGUCAAACCAAAAAGUUGAUAGUUUCAUAAUUAUAUCAGAUUUUCUUUUCAAAAUCACUCAAGACCAGUAGGAUUAACUUAUACUCACUAUCGGAAAAAAAAAUCUUAAAAAAACUUAAUGAAUAAUACACAAAUUCACAUUUUUAUAGAUUUUUCUAUGUAGACUUAAUAUUUA
This is a long non-coding RNA of Brassica rapa (field mustard), 4463 nucleotides long. RefSeq lists it as uncharacterized. The record is from RefSeq and is a predicted model, not a curated record. Lineage: Eukaryota; Viridiplantae; Streptophyta; Magnoliopsida; Brassicales; Brassicaceae.